Molecule: long non-coding RNA, 181 nt
Organism: Hibiscus syriacus
Lineage: Eukaryota; Viridiplantae; Streptophyta; Magnoliopsida; Malvales; Malvaceae
Exons: 3
Source: RefSeq, a predicted model, not a curated record
UAGGGAAAGUGAUGGGGAAAUGUUUAGUCUGAUUUGCUUUGGAUUCUUACUGUCUUAGGAUACUUUUGAUUUCAUCAAGAAUGCAUAGAAUGGUAUAUGCUUGAGAACAUAGGCCUACUUACAAUGAAAUCAUAAAGCAUAAACAAAAUAGUCUUUUUAUCAAAUGAUUUUUGUAUGAUAA